UUUGAUUUUUAGGUUAUAAAUUCAUUUUUGAAAGUGUAGAUCUCAGGCCCUGUGUGCUCUAGCACCAUGCAGACAGUUUUGGUUGAUUCCAGCACAUGUCAGCAAACACUGGAAAAAAGAAUUAUGUCUCUAUCAUAUUGUAAGGAAGAGUUAUUCUAAAGCACCCGAAGGGUGGUAAAAUACCUUUUUUUUGUCAUUCAAGUAUCCAAGUUCCCCACCUGACGCUUUUUACUGCCUAAUAUAACAGACACAGUGUCCUGUGUUUCUCUGCCUUCAGACAGACUCCAGCUUCUCUACAUAGGACAAGUGUUUGGAGAAUCCUGGAUGGAGAGCAGGCAUGUGUGCAUGAAACCAGAGACCAGAUUAAUGUGUUCAUGUACCCCACUUUGUAGACACUAAGUGUAUCUGCAUUAAUAUAUGAAAACAGCAUGAAGAGGAAAGAGAUUUAAAAAAAAGUCCCUAAUCCUGCUCCUGAUGAGCCACUUUCCUGAGUUUAUCUCCAACCCUGUAAAAAAACGCUCUAGCAGCUGAACAAUAAAUUGUUGUUUUAAUGAAUGCUGUUGCUAAACUAAAAAAACAACCACAAUGAACCAUAUCAAACAUCACAAAUGCCGUGGCUCAGUGGCUAAUCAUUUGUCUUUCAUUCAGUUCUUGGUCCAAAUCCCACAGUUGCUAAUAUUUUUAUCACAGAAAACAAAGCCCUCAAUAAACUCAAAAGAGUUCAAUAAAUAAAUGGUUGCGUUUGAAUCUUAGAUUGCCUAUGUUAAAAUGCAUAUCCAACAAACUGCACCAAACAACAGAUGAUAUUGUGAAAGCCACGAUGGUGCAGUGGUUAAACACAACACAUUUUCCAACUCUUCCUAAUCAAUCACACCUGAAUCGACUCAUCAGCUCGUUAGUAGAGACUCCAAAACCAGACAUAUAUGGGUCAGAUAAGAAAGACGUCGAGGGGUGUGCAAUGUUGGUGUGGCUCUUGGAACAGGGAUCUCUUGGUUUGAGCUGCUGGAGGUCAUGAGGAAAAGCAGUGAGUGACUUUGCAUGGAGUAUUUUGAGAGGAGCAACCGCCGAACUGUUAUGCAUCUGAGCCUUUUCCUGACUCAACCUGUUUCUGUUUUGAACUGGCAUGUUUUUGACAAUGAUCUACUUAAGUUUGUGUCCAAUAAAAUGGUAAAUGUGA
Molecule: non-coding RNA, 1177 nt
Organism: Pimephales promelas (fathead minnow)
Lineage: Eukaryota; Metazoa; Chordata; Actinopteri; Cypriniformes; Leuciscidae
Source: RefSeq, a predicted model, not a curated record